RNAcentral lists this unclassified non-coding RNA (346 nucleotides) under soil metagenome. RNAcentral's name for it is "partial contains 5.8S ribosomal RNA, internal transcribed spacer 2, and large subunit ribosomal RNA". The stretch from base 1 to 119 matches the Rfam family "5.8S ribosomal RNA", at positions 35 to 154 of the family's 154-position model. The record is from RNAcentral.
GAUGAAGAACGUAGCGAAAUGCGAUACGUAAUGUGAAUUGCAAAUUCAGUGAAUCAUCGAGUCUUUGAACGCACAUUGCGCCCCCUGGUAUUCCGGGGGGCAUGCCUGUCCGAGCGUCAUUGCUGCCCUCAAGCACGGCUUGUGUGUUGGGCCCCGUCCUCCGAUCCCGGGGGACGGGCCCGAAAGGCAGCGGCGGCACCGCGUCCGGUCCUCGAGCGUAUGGGGCUUUGUCACCCGCUCUGUAGGCCCGGCCGGCGCUUGCCGAUCAACCCAAAUUUUUUAUCCAGGUUGACCUCGGAUCAGGUAGGGAUACCCGCUGAACUUAGGCAUAUCAAUAAGCGGAGGA